Molecule: long non-coding RNA, 1613 nt
Organism: Amphiprion ocellaris (clown anemonefish)
Lineage: Eukaryota; Metazoa; Chordata; Actinopteri; Pomacentridae
Exons: 2
Source: RefSeq, a predicted model, not a curated record
CAACACUUUAUUUAAUAAAAGUCCCAUCUAGUUUUCAUGAGGAAUGUGAUGUUUUAAUUUCUCUGAAUAACUGCAGUCUAAUGCAACAGCUGGAUUUGUAACAUGUGUCCUGAUAUUGAUCAUGAAGUAUUGAUCAGAAUACUUAUGGUCAGCAGUCAUCCCUGAAGUUUUACAUUAAAAUCUUUACUUGUGUUGUGAACUUUGGUAAGAAGCAGAAACUUUAGCGUUGCCAUGGAUACAUGAGUGUUAAAUUCUGUCCAUGUUUCCAUUUUGGGAAAUUCAGUCCAGCAGAUGAGUUUGUUUUUACUGCCAGCUACAUUCAGUCUGAGAUAUUAAGAAUAAAUAAAUAAAUGUGCAUAAUGUGGAAAUGAACAGAUUCUAUUUUUAUUUAUUCCUACAGCUGCUGCAGGAAAGUUCCAGAAUGUGGAGGAAUUUAGUCUCACAAUCACAGACAAUAAAUAUUAUCUGAAAGUUGGGUUAUUGUUGUUUAUCAGCACAAUACAAAAAGAUUAAUGUUAGAAAUAUUCCAGUUAAGACUCUAGAAUAUCAGGAUUUAUGUAAAUUUACCUCAAUAAUAUGAAUGUUCAGGUUAAGAUUAUACAGUGAUAUUUAUUAUGUAAGUUUAGCUGAUUAAAGAUUAUGACUCUGCACUAAAAUAUUAUUUAUUAUUUAAAUUUACAUCAUUAUUAUAAUAUUUAGGUUCAGACUCUACAGUAUUGAGAUUAAGAAAUCAAAUAUUCUAUAAAAUGUAAAUACACUGAACUCAUUUGGAUAUAUUUAAGUGAGACUCUACAAUAUUAUUUGACACAAAUCUAUCUAAAUCAAAAUUUGAAUCAUUUUUACUCCAAACAUUUACUGGACUGAUUUAAAUAUUAAAAUCACUCCUUUCUAAUCCUCUGCUGUACGUUCAAACCUGAGGCCUUAAAUAGAAACACACAAGUAUCUGAUUGAAGGAACUUCUGCAGAGUCCUGGUUCCAGAACAUGAUGAUAGAAUUAUAGACAAACUUUAACAAAAGCUGCCUGAGAGUUUACAGCUUUUUAUGUUAGAUUUCUUCAGUAAUUUAAUGAGAGUUAUCAGCAAAAAUCAAGUGUUCAUUUGAUGAACUUCAUUUCCUAAAACAUCCAGAAUUGGAGCUCAUAUCUUUGGCAGCUGUAAAGUUUCUGCUCCUUCAAAGUUCACAACACAAUGAAUGAAUUCCUAAAACACUCUCAAUGCUGGAGAGCGUUUGAUGCUGAAGCAGUGAUCAGUUUUUCUGUUUCUUCUCUGGAGAUGCACAAUGAGGGACGUCUGCAGAGACUGAGAAAGAGUCUCACCACAUCCUGACAUGAGGAAAAAGACUUUAUUGAAGACUACAAUGAGAAAAACUAUCAGACAGCAGACGGCUGCAUUCAAGUCUGUAGCUGCUGAAUUCAUGGAUGAAUCAUCUGGCACUAGAGAGGAAGACCAUCAAACAUCCACGUCAGCUGAUGGAGGUCCAAGAGUCUCACCCAACAAACAACCUACAGAGUGAAGACCUCCAAUCUGAUUGGACGGCCUCCUAUUCAGCCACAUGUGUGAACAAAUGCCUCUAAGCUGAUUUGUUUUCUAAAAUAAAUCUAGUUUGAGUCCUAA